CCGGAAGGCGGCCCCAGCAAUGGUCAAUGCCCGAGCCGCCGCGGCCCACCAGCCCAGCACCCGCGAAGACCCAGAGCGCACCGCGGGGCGCCGGGAGAGGAGGAAGAGCCACCGCAAGGCCCCGCUACUCCCCCCCUGGGGAAGUCCAAAACGACGAGGGGUGAAAGAGACCCGUGACCUGCCUGCGCUGAGGGCGGAGACCAAAGAGCAACCCCAACUGUGCGCCUGACUGAAGACCUGCUAGACCGACGGUUUCCGGAGAAAGGCGCAGUCUGGACGACGCUGGGUAGACUGGGACCUGCAACUCAAGGUAGACCCCGUUGAGCCCACCGGGAAGUGAGCAUCGUCCUGAGGACCUGUUGCAGGGCUUGAAGUGCAAGGAAGGUGCACACUUGUUCCCGAGCUCCUUUCCUACUGACACACAAGGAAGGCAGAAACUGGAAGAUUGCUUUGGUGAUUUCUCCUGCAGUUUGGUCUUCUCUUAAAGAGUCUGAGCAUCUUGUUCCAUUCAGAAAACCCUCUUCAGUCUUGGUUGGCUUGACUGCACACAUGGUAGUAGCUGGUGGCAGAAUGAACCCUUGCCUCCGUGGCCCCUUUCUUUGCUGGGCAGGCUGGUGCCAGCCCAAGGGGAAGAAACAGAAAACUGCUUGAGCUGAGUCAGUGGGGUCCUGCUAGAUCAGAGCAUGUCUGGAGAGAAAAAGCUCAAGCCCUUGAUGUAACCCUUUACCUGCCCCUCUGAGGGCUGAGUGGGGAGGGGCGGUGUUUGGGGGAAGAUGGUGGGUAUGCUCUAGGAGGCCUGCCUCAAUGUAAAGGGGGCAGAUUUCUUGCAUCUGAUGAAAUUAGUGUUUGGAGAGUUUGAAAAGCAGUGUGACAUCUCAUCAAGGGGCACAAGAGGACAAAGCCCCCCUUUAUUGAUCCGUUUAGAGCUGUAGCUCCAGAGUGCUAUUCAGGCAGGGACAUAGCUGAGGAAAAACACAAUCCACACUUGCCCACAACAUCUGCUUUUAGGGGCUGAACUGAGUGGGACCUGAACUUCAAGGUGAAGCGUCGUCUCAGGAUGUGUAGUACAGCAGGAGCCUCCUCCCAAUUUCCUGGAGUUAACUGAGAUGUUAAGGGAGGAAGAUGAUUGGAGUGACCCUUUUAUGAACUACAACAGGUCUGAGCUAACGGAGAGGGCAACCAGCCUUGUGGCAUUUCAAGGGCCCCAGCUAACAGCAAUCAGCAAUGCUAUCACAUGGUGGACAUAGAUGAUACCGUGGGUGACUUGGAUGAAGAUGUGAUCCUGCUAUCUCUCAGGGCCCUCCACUUCCAUCUCUAGGUGCCUCUACCCUCAGAUGCAGGGUAAAUACUGGUCAUCAGUGCCCCCAACAGUUCUGGUGCUCCAUCUCCUUCUACCAGUGGGGAUUCUGGGUAUAAAAAUAUUGGUCCAUAAUAAUGAACAACUAUCAUUUUACGGGGGGUGGAGUGGGGAGUGGGAU
Condylura cristata (star-nosed mole) is the source of this 1478-nucleotide long non-coding RNA. RefSeq lists it as uncharacterized. The record is from RefSeq and is a predicted model, not a curated record. Lineage: Eukaryota; Metazoa; Chordata; Mammalia; Eulipotyphla; Talpidae. The transcript is spliced from 4 exons.